RNAcentral lists this long non-coding RNA (531 nucleotides) under Astyanax mexicanus (Mexican tetra). RNAcentral describes it as "lncRNA (ENSAMXG00005005824.1)". The record is from RNAcentral. Lineage: Eukaryota; Metazoa; Chordata; Actinopteri; Characiformes; Acestrorhamphidae.
UGGGGGAGCUGUGCGGUUGGAGGAGCUGAGCUGUUGGGGGAGCUGUGCGGUUGGGGGAGCUGUGCGGUUGGAGGAGCUGUGCUGUUGGGGGAGCUGUGCUGAGCUGUGUUAUCAGGAUGUUCCUGAGGCAGAAAAGCGGUUUUGACCCAGACCUCCACCAGCGCCCUGCCUCCAGUAACACAUGUCUGGUAGAAAAAGUCAAACAUGCUGACCUUUCCUGUCCUGAGGUGGAGAAAAGACUAACUAUCACAGUCUCUGAAUGUGACAUAGCGAGGUUUCGGAAUCCUCUCUAUCAGAAUCUGUGUGUGUCGAUGCUGCAGGAAGGGUUUCAUCUCUCCUUUGAAAAGUUCUUUUCUUUGCUGAAAAGGUCAAGAGCUUCUCGGCUUCCUCUGGAGGAUCAGCACCACAAACUGGAGAUGCUGAGAGAGCACCUCACCCGCGCUGAGGGUGCUGAAAGAGCUGGUAAUUAACACAAUAUUUUGUUUUAAUCGAUUAAUCUAUAAUGUAGAAAAUAAAUAAAAACAGUGAAUG